This 488-nucleotide ribosomal RNA is filed under the name uncultured bacterium. RNAcentral describes it as "bacterial SSU rRNA". It matches the Rfam family "Bacterial small subunit ribosomal RNA", at positions 34 to 518 of the family's 1533-position model. The record is from RNAcentral.
CGCCCGCUGGCGGCGUUGCCUAACACAUGCAAGUCGAGCGAGAUUUUAAGAACUAGCUUGCUAGUUCUAAAAUGAAAGCGGCGGACGGGUGAGUAACGCGUGGGCAACCUGCCCUAUGGAAAGGGAUAGCCUCGGGAAACCGGGAUUAAUACCUUAUAAAGUGAACACUUCGCAUGGAGAGUUCAUCAAAGAUUUAUCGCCAUAGGAUGGGCCCGCGUCCCAUUAGCUAGUUGGUGAGAUAACAGCUCACCAAGGCGACGAUGGGUAGCCGACCUGAGAGGGUGAUCGGCCACAUUGGGACUGAGACACGGCCCAAACUCCUACGGGAGGCAGCAGUGGGGAAUAUUGCGCAAUGGGGGAAACCCUGACGCAGCAACGCCGCGUGAGUGAAGAAGGUUUUCGGAUCGUAAAACUCUGUCUUUGGGGAAGAAUAAUGACCGGUCCCCCAAGGAGGAAGCCCCCGGCUAACUACCGUGCCAGCAGCCCGC